RNAcentral lists this unclassified non-coding RNA (240 nucleotides) under soil metagenome. Its description in RNAcentral is "partial contains 5.8S ribosomal RNA, internal transcribed spacer 2, and large subunit ribosomal RNA". The record is from RNAcentral.
AACCAUAGAAACCUGCGGAGUACCUGCGGAAGGAUCAUUAAAAAAACUUUGCCCGCGGACCCUGGGUCCAAGGCGCAAAACCCACACUAUGUGCACUGUUAUCGUUCUUUUGGCAGGGGCUUGGGGUAUCUUCCAACUUGGGAAACCUCAACUUCUCGUCUAGCUCUAUCCACCUCGGACAGCUGGACAUGAGAAGCAGUUACUCUGCCAAGUGACCCUUAAAAACACGCUUUUUUGUCU